This is a long non-coding RNA of Daphnia magna, 5272 nucleotides long. RefSeq lists it as uncharacterized. The transcript is spliced from 12 exons. NCBI's taxonomy places the organism in Eukaryota, Metazoa, Arthropoda, Branchiopoda, Diplostraca, Daphniidae. The record is from RefSeq and is a predicted model, not a curated record.
AAUUUUUCUUGAUUUUUAGGUAUCUUAUUUACGAAGGAUUGAAGUAAUGAAACCGAACUUUAGGCACAGACUAAGAUUAGUCUGUGCUUUAGGUUUGCCGAAUGUGUUUCUUAAUAGAUGAUAGAUGGCGAUUGCUGUAAUAGGGAUUUAACACAGAUUCAACACAGGUAGGGGGCAGCUCAGCCGCAGCAGGUAGGGCUGGUUGUUGUGGAGCUGGUACCGAAUUGGUGUUUUUGGAAAGUUGACGUAAUAGCAGAUUCCUUAGGAACGUUUUUACGAUUUUUAAGUGUCUUAUUUACGAAGAACGAAGCUAUGAAAAUCAACUUCAGGCUUGCGAUGUUUGUGUCCGUCGCUGGAUAGCGUUUAGCUUGGAAAAGAAACAUUUUGUGUCAGAUAAAGUAACCAUAACCAUGGUAAUCUAUAAGCUAAAGAGCUAUAAGAAAGUUUGUAUACCUGUAACCGGUUUUUACGAAAUUGAAACUUAUUUAUGAAUGAUAUGGCGUGUUGAUUGGAAUAGGAAAAGUUUUGUAAAUUGAUUGGAAGGGGAAAGGUUUUGUAAACAGGUUGUUUGUCAACCAAAAAGUCGCCGGUAAGGUUUCAUGUAUUUAUACAGUUUUUAUUUUGUCGUUUUCUGUAGCUUCUUACUCCCAUUUGAAGAAUUGACAACGCAUGUCGUUCUGUGUGUCAGCAAGGUUUUUAAUAAUUUCGAUGUCACAGAAGAAUCAUGGUAAAAUGGGGAAACCACCAUUUUGCGAUCAAAUCUCCAAACCGUUAUUGCAUCUAUGUGGAAAAGAGAGCUUAAAAUGUGUCAGCAGCUAGCCUCCUUACAAGAAAAAGUAAUUCAUAUGGAUACACAGUAUUCAAAACAGCUGGAAGCAUUAAGACAGAAAUGAAGUUCAAAGUUUUUUCGUUUCAUUUUGACAAUAUUAUUUAGUCUGUGGUGGCAUUAUAUACCUUAUUUGAUAUGUGAAUAUUUUUUGGAAAGUGUUAAAACUUCUCAGAAAUUAGAUUUCGAGGAGUUACAUAACAAGUGCAAGAAGAUUGAACGAAAUGUGAAAGAGCAACACAAGAAUAAAAUACUUCCAACCUCAACUCAAGAAUCAUCAAACAAAAGAAAAUCCUAAACAGAUCUUCUUUGAAAUGGCUGAAUGUGAGGUGAACAUUCUAAAGUCAAAACAGGAAUUCAGACUGACUAUUAAACGUUUCCGUCUAAAAUCGACAGGCACUGAACAUAAUGUUUAAAGUUUGGUCUAACUACAUUAUUGCUAUGGUUGGAUUUGCAUUUCCUCAGUAGAAAUGUAACGCUACCGAUGCUGCAAUUCUGAUGGAAACGCUCAAAUUCAGCCUUCAGUCGUCCAUGUAUACAAUAACGGUAGAUGGCUGAUUUUUUUGUUCUUCCACUCCCACCUGUCCCCGUUCUUUCUUUUUUCUUUUUCCGUCCGGAGCUUACAAAAACUGAUUGGGAAUGACAGCUAUUUCUAAUUCAACCGUUAUGGAGCUGUAAAAACUACAAAUGAUUUCCGUUGGGGUUCAAGAAAAUUUGAUAGACCUAUUCCAUGGCAGUGAAAAUGGUAUGCAGAAAUGGUAUGCAGCAACUUAGAGCGGGUCAAAGUUAUUGAUUGCUGAGUCAGAGAACAAUAUGUAAAAUCUGACAUUCUAGCCCUCGAAACCUCAGCUGACCAUAUGCUUCAACAAGAGUAUAACGCAAUUAUAAUUUUGAGGAGGUCCCAACUCAGUUUACGCCCGGUUUACGCAGAACAUGCCCCACUUUACGACCCAGCAAUCUUUACUUGUGGUCUUCCAGUUCAGGGAAUUUGUUAUGCUCUUAUGCAUGCAAUUACUCAACAAAGAAUUAGAAAAACAAUUAUGUCAUAAAAUAAGCAGCAGUGUAUCGAUUACGUCCGGCGUAUGUUAGGGCGUAAGAUCGUGCUCGUGCUGGUAAGCGGCGAAAUCGAUUCCGCCGUUUGUGCUACCCUUCUCCAUAAAGCACUUCUACAGGGUGAGGACUCGUCGCGAGUGCAGACCAUCCAUAUCGAUAACGGUUUCCUGUGUAAAGAUGAAUCCGAGCAGGUCGUCACUAGUUUACAGCAACUCGGGCGCAAUCUUCGGACAGUGGUUUCUCAUUUCUUCUUCAUACUAGCGAUCAGAUUUGAUGUUUCGAAUUGUUUUAAGUUGUUAAAGCAAGUUUGACCUUCUACGAUGCUUUCGCCAACGUGCAUGGUCGCCAAACUUUGUCCUUGUGUUGGACUGUGAAUCCGGAAGGAAAACGUCAAAUAAUUUGCGAUACGUUUGUUAAAGUGACAGAUAGUGCGACUAACGAUUUAAAUCUUAAUUGGGAAAAUCUACGUCUCGGACGAGGUACUUGGAUGCCGGAUUCAAUUGGACUCUUUGUGCGCUGAUGCCACAAAUACUCUUAAUGAUUCCGAAAUGGUUCGUCAAUUGCGCCUUCACGGUCGUGUAGUAGAACCUAAUAAAGACUUCCAUAAAGAUGAAGUAAGAGCCUUAGGUCGCGAACUGGGUCUGCUCGCAGAAUUACUAAUGAUGAACUACUAAUCAUAAUGUCAAUCGCGUUUGCUACGUAUUCGGAAAGGCUGAAUCGGUGGCAAACGUUACACCUACCUUCUUAACGAGUAACAUUUUGGCAACUUUGAGGGAAGCGGAUUAUUUGGCAUAUAAAAUAUAACAGGAUUCGGGUUGCCAUAAGAAGCUAGCCCAGAUGCCCAUCGUCUUGAUCCCUCUUCACUUUAAUCACGAUUCGAGUCAACGCAUUCCAUUAUGCCAGCAAUCGGUCGUUUUUCCACCAUUCUUUUCACAGGAUUUGAUGACUGGACUUCCUGCAAUUCCUGAUACUUAUCUGCCCCAAGAGGUUGUAGAAGUUGAAGCCGUCUCAAAUGUUCCAGGAAUUUCCAGGGUCUUGCAUGACCUGACGGCAAAACCACCCGGGACAACGGAGUGGGAAGGAUUUGAUUUACGAACUUUACUUAGGCAAAUGAUCUCCGCACUCUUUAUAGGACGCGGAUACAGAGUUGUAUCAUUGACCAGAUUUGGAUGGAAAUAUUAUGAACAGUGGAUUCUGUAUAGACUUUUGAAAUUGAAAAUCAAUCAGCUUUACCUUAAGUGAAAAUCUCUUAAACUCGCUUUUUAAGAGGAGUUCAUGUGAUAACUUGUUGACUAUUCCUUAAAUGUACAUGCACAUUUGUUGGAAAUAAUGGGGGCAGUUGUUUUUCGUCGAACUAGGUGGGUUGUUGUUCCUCUCCUUUCUGAAACUACCCUUUUUUGCCCUAUUAUUAAUCUAAUUCUAUUGGAAACGUUCGGAUGUCGCCCAAAAACAAGCGGCCAUUUGAGGCGUUAUGCCAUUUCCUGAAAUUGAACAUUCAGAAAAUGUGGUAUAUGUUCGCAACUUGUUAAGAUUCAUUCAGAGUGGUACCAUAAAGUAUGACUGUAGGAAAGGGUACGUAGGCUUCUAAAAAUUAAAAACAGCUCUGACGUCUUUUGCAGCUAGCCAACAAUUUGCAUAACAUAAAAAAUGAGCAGUAUUAUUCGAAAAAUUUCAAAUACUUUUCUUGCAUGCGUUAGGGUGAUGCAGCUAUUAUUCCGUGUUUUUUUUUUUUUUUCGCUAUUAACAGUACAGGCUGACACUACGAGCAAUGGCAGUUUUUGUUACAAAUGUUUUAGCGCCUCGUCUUGCAACUAGUACUUGAUAUGCUAGGUUUUUAUGUUUUAAAUUGGAAUUCAACUAUUUGAGAUCAGUAAAGUUCAAGCACUUAAAAGCAAGAAUUGUACUGUUUUCGAAGUAAAAUCUAUUUCUUUCUUCUAAUUCUUUCUUUGGGUUUCAGGAAGAAAAACUAGAUGGCGUUAAUGUUCGUCUAUGAUAAAUAUUGCCAGUGACAACUAAAUUGGUGUUUGUUACGUUUCUACCCUGUUUAGUGUUUUAAAGAACUUUUCAUCAGAUAUUAACGAUAUGAUAUAAUCUGUUCAGUAUUGCUAUCGUUGUGUAUGUAUUGAAAAGCAAAUCCUUAAAAUAGAUUGUUUUUUGUAUGUGGUAAAGUAAAAGGUCAGGUAAAACAAGUAAAAGUAAGUGAAAGAUCACUAUUAAAUAGGAUUGAAUUUUGUAACUAUGCCAAGGUAACAAGCCGUCUUCUGGUAGAAAUUCUUAUGCCUUACGCCUUAGUUGUUACUGGUUGUCUGCUGAAUGUAGAUUACAAUCUAUUUUAAACAUUCUCUUGGUUACUAAACUCAGAUAUGCCACCUAUUUUUCACGAUUAUUUGCAUGGUUGACCCUCGAUUGUUGUUUGAAGGUGUAUUGUCACCAGACAUCCUUUGAAUGGUACAAUAUGUUUGCAUGUUAUUUCUUUCAGUUCAAUUUUCUGUCACACAAGGUUUUCAUUCUCCAGGUAAACCCACUAUCAGCAGCCUUACAAAGUUCUUCAUAAAUACAACCCCUGAGAAAACAUUAUCGUUGGAAAUUGUUUUUAUGUUGUGGUUGGGUUCUCCACUUUUAUUAUCCAUUUGCAAUUUUCACACUACUUCAUUAUCACCAUGGUAUGUCAAUUGCUUGAGUUUUGUUGGAAUAAUUUUUUAGGAAAUUUUUACCUACUUUUGGAAAACCUGCUUAACCUUAACUUAACUUUUGGAAAACCAGAAAAGGGAUUCUGGAAAUUGAUAAUUUCUAAUCUACACUGGUAAUCAGGUUUAUUUUUACAUGUAUAACAUAGAUCUGCAUUAAUGUUGUUUUGCUUUCCCACAAGCAGAUAACAAUAUUUAAUAUAUUUACGUUUCAGAAUGAGCUUCGAAUUUGAAGUUGAGUGUUUUAUCAGAUUACAGAUUCCGACUGAAAAUCAAACAAUUUCCUUCUACAAAUGGAUUUUGAAGUAUUAUGUGCAUGUGCAUGUGGUAUUAUGUACUCUAUGAUCCUUUAAUUGGUGAUCUACAAAAAAAAUGACCAUAGAAGGAAGUUUUUGCAGGAUCUGUUAUCGGCCGUCUAUGUUAUGCAGUAAUUGGAUCUGCAGUUUAGUUAUAGUAGAAUUUAUAUGAAAAAUGAUGUUUGAUUGGAAAAAGUUCCUGAUUGAGACAAGAGAUUUAAAAAAAUGAUACUGUUUGGAAGGACGACCGGCAAUUUCAAGAUUCAUUUAUUUCCUUCUACAUUAUACUAUUUAUAAUUUUUAAAAAAUUGAAUUGUAUAUCUGGGCUCCCUUCUUUUCUGUGGUCCCGUUUCCCCUUGACUCGUAAUAAGCCCGUAGGGGGUCAUGCCCCUACUGUGAUCAGCAGUAAA